CGGCGCGCAGCGCACCCCGCCGACACUGGACUGUGCACCUUAUCUUUAACUCGCUUCGAGUGUCGAAGCGCUUAAACUUUAUUUCUUCAUAAGCUGCCCAUCACCAUGCGUUGUGCAGCCCAUUUGGUGCCGGAGAGUGGAACCGGGGAGGAGAAGUGUGGCACAGGAGUGACCAGGGCAAAACAGUGAAUUGGGGAAGAGGACGAGUUGGAGGCGGGGGUCAAAACUUCGGCUGGAGAGAAAGACUCAUUCCCAUCAUUACCUUGAACACGGUAAUUUUUAUUGUUUUGCACAUAAUUUUUAUUGUUUUGUGUACUUGUUUAAUAAGCAUGACCAGAUUGUUGUGUUUUUUUAAAUAUUUUAUUUGUGUAUUCAUGAAGACAGAGAGAAGCAGAGGGAGAAGCAGGCUCCCUGUGGGGAGACUGAUGCGGGACUCCAUCCUAGGACCUCUGGAUCAUGACCUGAGCCAAAAGCAGAUAGAUGCUUAACCACUGAACCACCCAUAUGCCCCACCAGAUUGUUUUUGAGACAGAUUCCUAAAUUUUCAACCUUUCUCACUGAUUGAUUCAUUCAAAUUUAUUCCUGAGCUAGGGUAUAGAUAGAUACACAGAGAUGAAUAAAAUUCGCCUCUUAAAUAGCAGAAACACAAAUCCUGGUUUGGCAAACAGAAUAAACUAAUGACUGCACUACAGUGUUUUCAGUGCUACAGUCAUAUAAAUACCUUAGUUGGAGAAAGUAAAAAAAUGUGGCAUUUGAGAUAAAUCUUAUCUACAAUAAUGGACUUUUCUCAAUGUUUCCAAAGCCUAAUUAUUAAUACCUUUUCAGAAACAAUGUCCUAGGACCUAGGUGAAAAGAACGUUGGGAGAGUUUGACUCAUAACAUGAGCUCCAUAAAAAAAAAAAAAAAAAAAAAAAAAAAAAAAAAAAAAAAAAAAAAAGAGGCACCUGGGUAGCUCAGUGGUUGAGCAUCUGCCUUUGGCUGAGGGUCCUGGGAUUUGGCUCAGAGUCCUGGGAUUGAGUCCACAUCGGCUACCUGCCUGGAGCCUGCUUCUCCCUCUGCCUGUGUCUCUGCCUCUCUCUCUCUCAUGAAUAAAUAAAUAAAAUCUUUAAAAAAAAAAAAAGUAUCUGCCUUAGGCUCAGGUCAUAAUCCCAGAGUCCUAGGAUUGAGCCCCACAUCAGGGGAGCCCCAUAUCAGGCCCCUGGCUCAGCAGGGAGUCUGAUUCUCUCUCUACCUCUCACCCCACUUGUGCUCUCUCCCUUGCUC
RNAcentral lists this long non-coding RNA (1263 nucleotides) under Canis lupus familiaris (dog). Its description in RNAcentral is "lncRNA (ENSCAFG00845002432.1)". The record is from RNAcentral. Lineage: Eukaryota; Metazoa; Chordata; Mammalia; Carnivora; Canidae.